CUGGUCCUUGAUGUGUAGGAUAGGUGGGAGGCUUUGAAGUGUGGACGCCAGUCUGCAUGGAGCCAUCCUUGAAAUACCACCCUUUAAUGGCUGGUGUUCUAACGUGGACCCGUUACCCGGGUUGCGGACAGUGUCUGGUGGGUAGUUUGACUGGGGCGGUCUCCUCCUAAAGAGUAACGGAGGAGCACGAAGGUUAGCUAAUCCUGGUCGGACAUCAGGAGGUUAGUGCAAAGGCAUAAGCUAGCUUGACUGCGAGAGUGACGGCUCGAGCAGGUGCGAAAGCAGGUCU
RNAcentral lists this ribosomal RNA (289 nucleotides) under Escherichia coli. RNAcentral describes it as "partial 23S ribosomal RNA". It matches the Rfam family "Bacterial large subunit ribosomal RNA", at positions 2124 to 2412 of the family's 2925-position model. Lineage: Bacteria; Pseudomonadati; Pseudomonadota; Gammaproteobacteria; Enterobacterales; Enterobacteriaceae. The record is from RNAcentral.